CACGGGGGGAGCAAGCGUUGUUCGGAAUCACUGGGCGUAAAGGGCGUGUAGGCGGUCAGGUAAGUGGGACGUGAAAUGCCUCGGCUCACCCGAGGAGCGGCGUCCCAUACUGCUUGGCUUGAGUACGGGAGAGGAUGUGGGAAUUCCUGGUGUAGCGGUGAAAUGCGUAGAUAUCGUAAGGAAGGCCGGUGGCGAAAGCGAGCCUCUGGACAGUUACUGACGCUGAUGCACGAAGGCCAGGGGAACAAACGGG
RNAcentral lists this ribosomal RNA (253 nucleotides) under uncultured bacterium. Its description in RNAcentral is "partial 16S ribosomal RNA". It matches the Rfam family "Bacterial small subunit ribosomal RNA", at positions 524 to 776 of the family's 1533-position model. The record is from RNAcentral.